CCUACGGGAGGCAGCAGUGAGGAAUAUUGGUCAAUGGACGAGAGUCUGAACCAGCCAAGUAGCGUGAAGGAUGACUGCCCUAUGGGUUGUAAACUUCUUUUAUAAAGGAAUAAAACGAGGCACGUGUGCCUUUUUGCAUGUACUUUAUGAAUAAGGAUCGGCUAACUCCGUGCCAGCAGCCGCGGUAAUACGGAGGAUCCGAGCGUUAUCCGGAUUUAUUGGGUGUAAAGGGAGCGUAGAUGGGUUGUUAAGUCAGUUGUGAAAGUUUGCAGCUCAACCGGAGAAUUGCAAUUGAUACUGGCAGUCUUGAGUACAGUUGAGGUAGGCGGAAUUCGUGGUGUAGCGGUGAAAUGCUUAGAUAUCACGAAGAACCCCGAUUGCGAAGGCAGCUUACUAAACUGUGACUGACAUUGAUGCUCGAAAGUGGGGGUAGCAAACAGGAUUAGAUACCCUAGUAGUC
RNAcentral lists this ribosomal RNA (460 nucleotides) under uncultured bacterium. RNAcentral describes it as "partial 16S ribosomal RNA". It matches the Rfam family "Bacterial small subunit ribosomal RNA", at positions 338 to 795 of the family's 1533-position model. The record is from RNAcentral.